CAGCAGCCGCGGGAACACGAAGGGGGCUAGCGUUGUUCGGAUUUACUGGGCGUAAAGCGCACGUAGGCGGAUUCUUAAGUCAGAGGUGAAAUCCCAAGGCUCAACCUUGGAACUGCCUUUGAUACUGGGGAUCUUGAGUCCGGGAGAGGUGAGUGGGACUGCGAGUGUAGAGGUGAAAUUCGUAGAUAUUCGCAAGAACACCAGUGGCGAAGGCGGCUCACUGGCCCGGUACUGACGCUGAGGUGCGAAAGCGUGGGGAGCAAACAGGAUUAGAUACCCGCGUAGUCCCUGUCUCUUAUAC
RNAcentral lists this ribosomal RNA (301 nucleotides) under uncultured bacterium. Its description in RNAcentral is "partial 16S ribosomal RNA". It matches the Rfam family "Bacterial small subunit ribosomal RNA", at positions 509 to 807 of the family's 1533-position model. The record is from RNAcentral.